GAGAUACGCUAGUUUUAAGGAUUAAGCCAUGCAAGCCAAUACAAGUUUUACAACUGAAAUUGCAGACGGCUCAGUAGGACAUCUGUAAUACAACCAUAAGAAGAGAGGAUAACUACAAGAAUUUUGUGGCUAAUCAUGAAAGUCGGAAAUCUUAAAUAAGAUUUAUAUGUAAUAUAGACUUAUUUCUUACUAAUAAUAUCAGUAGGGUGUGAAAACAAGAAUUCAGAGGGGAUAGUUAUGGAGUAGCGGGUGGUCCAUCAGCUAAAUCUUAAGGUAACGACUUAAGAUUGCGAUAACGGAUGCGGGGAAUAGCAGUUUAGUUCCGGAGAGGGAGCCUGAGAGACGGCUACCAUGUCUACGGAUAGCAGCAGGCGCGUAACUUGCCCAAUCGAUAAGGAGGCAUCGACGAGAAGUUCUGUUUGCAAUAGCAAAUAGAGAGAAAAAUAAGUAUAUAAUAUUUUGAGAGCAACUUGAGGGCAAGUCUGGUGCCAGCCGCCGCGGUAAUUCCAGCUCGGGGAGCGUACUUCAUUUAUGUUGCGGUUAAGAGGCCCGCAGUUUAAUAGGACUGAGAAAGAGAUAUUAAUAAAGAUAUCAAGACAGGUCUGCUAAAACUAGGAUUAUUCAGGGAUAAAGGUAACUUUCCAGGAGAGGUGAAAAACGAAGAUUGGAGAGGGACGAAGUGAGGCGAAGGCGUUUAUCUUGAAUGAGUUCGAUGACUAUGGGCGAAGGCUAGGGGAGCGAAGAUGAUCAGAUACCGUUGUAGUCCUAGCGUCAAAUUGCCAUUCGCAGAGAGUAUGAUUCUUUUUGAAUUAUAUUCUAGGCAGAAUGAAAGAGAAUGGUUCUGGGGGGAGUACUGUCGCAAGGCUGGAACUUGAAGGAAUUGACGGAUGGACACACCAGAGGUGGAGCCUGCGGCUUAAUUUGACUCAACACGGGGCAGCGUACCAAGCGAGGACGAAAUUAUGAUUUUUAGUUAUUUCACGAGCUGACAAUUUUAUUUUGAGGACUGACAAUUUUAUUUUGAGGGCUGACAAUUUUACUACGUAAAAAGGUCAAUUUUUCGGAAAGGACCUUUUUACGAAGUAAAAUUGUCAGCCCUCAAAAUAAAAUUGUCAGUCCUCAAAAUAGAAUUGAUUGUCAGCCCUCAAAAUAAGAUAAAAGAUUUUUCUUAGGGUGGUGCAUGGCCGUUUUUUGCUGGUGGGGUGACCUGUGCGGUUUAUUCCGUUAACGGGCGUGGCCGGUAUAUAUUUAUAGUUUUCUUUCUGUAUAUUUUAGACGCUCUAUGAAAAUGGGGGGAAGAACCGGUUACAACAGGUCUGUGCUGCCCCUUGAUGGCUUGGGCUGCACGCGGGCUACAAUAGUUCUUUCAUGGAAAAUAGUAGAAAGAAAAAGAAUUGAGAGGGAUUAUGUUUUGUAAGAGACAUAUGAACAAGGAAUCUCUAGUAGGCAUUUCUAAAUAGGGAGUGCCGACUUCGUCCCUGUCCGUUGUACACACCGCCCGUCGAUACUACCGGUUUGUCUUGACAUGAGUUAAUACGAAUGUUGAUGCGACGAGGAAG
Molecule: ribosomal RNA, 1559 nt
Filed under: uncultured Metchnikovellidae
Lineage: Eukaryota; Fungi; Microsporidia
Description: partial 18S small subunit ribosomal RNA
Rfam family: Eukaryotic small subunit ribosomal RNA
Source: RNAcentral